CUUGACGGUUCGAAGGCGGUUCCUGGGUCAAGCGGCAGGGCAGGGCAGGGGCAGCUGGCCUCUCUUCUCUCACUCUCCAGAAGAUCUGACCUAUCCUCUUCUCCUCUGGUCCUCCCAUCUCUCACGCAACGGCGGCAGCCGGCAGGGCAGCUGGCUGGGAGGGCUCGAGAUCGAUGACACACCGAAAUCGAUGCAAUUAAGCGCGUCGAAGAGUCUGUUCAUCACCCUGGCGUGGAUCCAGAGCGGGUUGAGUACCGAGAUCUAGCGUCGAAGGCGUGCUUGAGGAGGAUGCCAGACAAGGGGAUGAAGAGCAGGCGCCGAGAGAAACGGGGGAAGGCGCAGAGGAGGAGUCGAGCGACGGGAUGGAGUGGUGGGUCGAGCAGGUCGGCGGCGUUCUCGGAGUAGGCUAGGAGGAGGAAGGAGAAGGAGUCGGCGAUGGCGAGUGUGCAGCUGAAGGGCUGGAUGUGGCAGCUGCGCUGGAUGCGUGCAGCUGAAGGACUGAGAGUAAUCGAACUGCUCCAACACCGCUUGGAGACCCGCGGCCAUGAUAUGUGACGGCUUGCGUCGUUCAUUCUUGAUUCUGGCAGGAUGGCCGGCGAGACUUCGAGAUAGCGUCUGAAGAUGGUCGCGACUGUCCCACAGUGAACAGCUAGCCCGCGCUGGUGCCUGGUGAGCCGGAGUCACCGCCUGGAGAGCGUCGAGCGGCAGCUUCUGACCCCGAAUUGAUGGUCUAUGACAAUGCAAAGACCGUCCCAGUCUGGGAGCUCGCGCAGCCAAGGGUGUGCAGCCCGAGCGGGUGAGCUGGAAUCAGCGUCAAGGGGGUGACUUCAACAGGAGCUUGGCUCAUCCUCAGCCGCAGGGACGGCAGGCAGAAGACAACGCCUUAUUGGAAUAGCAGAACAAUGAUUUAUUGAAUUCCCUUUGACAAGAAGCUUAACGGCAGCUUUCGGGAUGUAUAAGAGAUGAAAACACAUUUCCACCACUCCUGCUAGAGCUGCAACAAUCGGCCUUCUCUGGCGAUGGGAUGGAAAUGGUGGGUAUGAGGUAAUAGCGACGGCAACGGUUGUGUCUCUUGGCUGUGUCGUGACACUCUCCUUAUCUAGGUGCACUGCCGCGACCGCUGGAAGCAAAAUCCAUGGGGCGAACCAUGUUCAAAGUCUUAAAGAAGUGGUGCCAUCAUGGGGCGUGCCCCCACCCUUAUUCCACGCCUCACGACCAUUGGAGAUGAUGAAGAAGAACUACAGUCUAUUCUGGGCAGGUAAUCUGCAGCUUGGUUUGCCAUCAGGGGAGCUAUGUGUGUUGUGUGUGUUCUUUACCUACUAAUCGAGCGGUGAUGUGUUGUAUAAGCCGUAGGGAUAUUUUUUCCCUAUUGAGGUUAUCCGUGAAAAGUCAAAUGGGGCUGAGAUGACCACUGUAGAAGAGCUGUCCGUUAUGAAUCUUCAUAUAGCCUUGGUAAGAAUUUGUUGUUUGCCCCACGGUUUACCUUUAAAUAGGAGAUUGCAUUGUGUUUCAGAGUGUAAACUGUUCAGAUGUAAAUCUAAGAUCGAAAGCUUGCAGCUUAACCGGAA
Lolium perenne is the source of this 1568-nucleotide long non-coding RNA. RefSeq lists it as uncharacterized. The record is from RefSeq and is a predicted model, not a curated record. NCBI's taxonomy places the organism in Eukaryota, Viridiplantae, Streptophyta, Magnoliopsida, Poales, Poaceae.